UGAGGAAUCUUCGGCAAUGGGGGCAACCCUGACCGAGCGACGCCGCGUGCGGGAAGACGGCCUUCGGGUUGUAAACCGCUUUUCUGUGGGACGAGAAGCAGGACGGUACCACAGGAAGAAGCCUCGGCUAACUACGUGCCAGCAGCCGCGGUAAUACGUAGGAGGCGAGCGUUGUCCGGAGUUACUGGGCGUAAAGGGUGCGCAGGCGGCGGUUCGCGUGGAUAGAUGAAAUCUCCUGGCUUACCUGGGAGGAUGGUAUCCAGACGGGAUCGCUUGAGGGUCGGAGAGGGGCGUGGAAUUCCGGGUGGAGCGGUGAAAUGCGUAGAGAUCCGGAGGAACACCGACGGCGUAGGCAGCGCCCUGGACGACACCUGACGCUGAGGCACGAAAGCUGGGGGAGCGAACAG
RNAcentral lists this ribosomal RNA (407 nucleotides) under uncultured bacterium. RNAcentral's name for it is "bacterial SSU rRNA". It matches the Rfam family "Bacterial small subunit ribosomal RNA", at positions 355 to 775 of the family's 1533-position model. The record is from RNAcentral.